RNAcentral lists this ribosomal RNA (497 nucleotides) under uncultured bacterium. RNAcentral's name for it is "partial 16S ribosomal RNA". It matches the Rfam family "Bacterial small subunit ribosomal RNA", at positions 28 to 507 of the family's 1533-position model. The record is from RNAcentral.
GAUGAACGCUGGCGGCGUGCCUAAUACAUGCAAGUCGAGCGAACAGACGAGGAGCUUGCUCCUCUGACGUUAGCGGCGGACGGGUGAGUAACACGUGGAUAACCUACCUAUAAGACUGGGAUAACUUCGGGAAACCGGAGCUAAUACCGGAUAAUAUAUUGAACCGCAUGGUUCAAUAGUGAAAGACGGUUUUGCUGUCACUUAUAGAUGGUUCCGCGCCGCAUUAGCUAGUUGGUAAGGUAACAGCUUACCAAGGCAACGAUGCGUAGCCGACCGGAGAGGGUGAUCGGCCACACUGGAACUGGGACACGGUCAAGACUCCUACGGGAGGCAGCAGUAGGGAAUCUUCCGCAAUGGGCGAAAGCCUGACGGAGCAACGCCGCGUGAGUGAUGAAGGUCUUCGGAUCGUAAAACUCUGUUAUUAGGGAAGAACAAAUGUGUAAGUAACUAUGCACGUCUUGACGGUACCUAAUCAGAAAGCCACGGCUAACUACGUG